UGGGGAAUAUUGCACAAUGGGCGCAAGCCUGAUGCAGCCAUGCCGCGUGUAUGAAGAAGGCCUUCGGGUUGUAAAGUACUUUCAGCGGGGAGGAAGGUGUUGUGGUUAAUAACCACAGCAAUUGACGUUACCCGCAGAAGAAGCACCGGCUAACUCCGUGCCAGCAGCCGCGGUAAUACGGAGGGUGCAAGCGUUAAUCGGAAUUACUGGGCGUAAAGCGCACGCAGGCGGUCUGUCAAGUCGGAUGGGAAAUCCCCGGGCUCAACCUGGGAACUGCAUCCGAAACUGGCAGGCUUGAGUCUUGUAGAGGUGGGUAGAAUUCCAGGUGUAGCGGUGAAAUGCGUAGAGAUCUGGAGGAAUACCGGUGGCGAAGGCGGCCCCCUGGACAAAGACUGACGCUCAGGUGCGAAAGCGUGGGGAGCAAACA
This 427-nucleotide ribosomal RNA is filed under the name uncultured bacterium. RNAcentral describes it as "partial 16S ribosomal RNA". It matches the Rfam family "Bacterial small subunit ribosomal RNA", at positions 355 to 774 of the family's 1533-position model. The record is from RNAcentral.